AGUGAACGCUGGCGGUAGGCCUAACACAUGCAAGUCGAACGGCAGCACAGUAAGGGCUUGCUCUUACGGGUGGCGAGUGGCGGACGGGUGAGGAAUACAUCGGAAUCUACUUUUUCGUGGGGGAUAACGUAGGGAAACUUACGCUAAUACCGCAUACGACCUACGGGUGAAAGCAGGGGAUCUUCGGACCUUGCGCGAUUGAAUGAGCCGAUGUCGGAUUAGCUAGUUGGCGGGGUAAAGGCCCACCAAGGCGACGAUCCGUAGCUGGUCUGAGAGGAUGAUCAGCCACACUGGAACUGAGACACGGUCCAGACUCCUACGGGAGGCAGCAGUGGUGAAUAUUGGACAAUGGGCGCAAGCCUGAUCCAGCCAUACCGCGUGGGUGAAGAAGGCCUUCGGGUUGUAAAGCCCUUUUGUUGGGAAAGAAAAGCAGCAGGUUAAUACCCCGCUGUUCUGACGGUACCCAAAGAAUAAGCACCGGCUAACUUCGUG
This 492-nucleotide ribosomal RNA is filed under the name uncultured bacterium. Its description in RNAcentral is "partial 16S ribosomal RNA". It matches the Rfam family "Bacterial small subunit ribosomal RNA", at positions 29 to 507 of the family's 1533-position model. The record is from RNAcentral.